GUUCCUCACUUCAGCUGCACAUAUACAAAGAUUGGAAAAAUACAGAGAAAAUUAGCAUGGCCCUUGUAUAAGACAUUUUGCCACAAUAAAAAUCAUUUGGUCAA
RNAcentral lists this small nuclear RNA (104 nucleotides) under Marmota monax (woodchuck). The record is from RNAcentral. Lineage: Eukaryota; Metazoa; Chordata; Mammalia; Rodentia; Sciuridae.